Molecule: ribosomal RNA, 301 nt
Filed under: uncultured bacterium
Lineage: Bacteria
Description: partial 16S ribosomal RNA
Rfam family: Bacterial small subunit ribosomal RNA
Source: RNAcentral
CAGUCGCCACGGGAAUACGAAGGGUGCAAGCGUUAAUCGGAAUUACUGGGCGUAAAGCGUGCGUAGGCGGUUUGUUAAGUCUGUUGUGAAAUCCCCGGGCUCAACCUGGGAAUGGCAAUGGAUACUGGCAAGCUAGAGUGUGUCAGAGGAUGGUGGAAUUCCCGGUGUAGCGGUGAAAUGCGUAGAGAUCGGGAGGAACAUCAGUGGCGAAGGCGGCCAUCUGGGACAACACUGACGCUGAGGCACGAAAGCGUGGGGGGCAAACAGGAUUAGAGACCCCCGUAGUCCCUGUCUCUUAUAC